RNAcentral lists this ribosomal RNA (454 nucleotides) under uncultured bacterium. RNAcentral describes it as "partial 16S ribosomal RNA". It matches the Rfam family "Bacterial small subunit ribosomal RNA", at positions 28 to 507 of the family's 1533-position model. The record is from RNAcentral.
GAUGAACGCUGACAGAAUGCUUAACACAUGCAAGUCCACUUGAACUUCGGUUUGGGUGGCGGACGGGUGAGUAACGCGUAAAGAACUUGCCUCACAGCUAGGGACAACAUUUGGAAACGAAUGCUAAUACCUGAUAUUAUGAUUUUAGGGCAUCCUAGAAUUAUGAAAGCUAUAUGCGCUGUGAGAGAGCUUUGCGUCCCAUUAGCUAGUUGGAGAGGUAACGGCUCACCAAGGCGAUGAUGGGUAGCCGGCCUGAGAGGGUGAACGGUCACAAGGGGACUGAGACACGGCCCUUACUCCUACGGGAGGCAGCAGUGGGGAAUAUUGGACAAUGGACCAAGAGUCUGAUCCAGCAAUUCUGUGUGCACGAUGAAGUUUUUCGGAAUGUAAAGUGCUUUCAGUUGGGAAGAAAAAAAUGACGGUACCAACAGAAGAAGUGACGGCUAAAUACGUG